GAAGGUGGCUAGCGUUGUUCGGUAUUACUGGGCUUAAAGCGUGUGUAGGCGGAAAGAUUAGCGUCUUGUGAAAGCCCCCGGCUUAACCGGGGAAUUGCUGGGCGUACUGUCUUUCUUGAGGCAAGUAGGGGUGCAUGGAACUCUUGGUGGAGCGGUGGAAUGCGUAGAUAUCAAGAGGAACGCCAGUGGUGAAGACGGUGCACUGGGCUUGUCCUGACGCUGAGACACGAAAGCGUGGGGAGCGAACGGGGGAUUAGAUACCCCGGUAGUCCACGCUGUAAACGAUGUCUACUAGGUUGUGGAGGUUCUGACACCUGCACAGCCGAAGCAAAAGUGUUAAGUAGACCGCCUGGGGAGUACGGUCGCAAGGCUA
Molecule: ribosomal RNA, 373 nt
Filed under: uncultured organism
Description: partial 16S ribosomal RNA
Rfam family: Bacterial small subunit ribosomal RNA
Source: RNAcentral